CAAUAGCGUAUAUUAAAGUUGUUGCAGUUAAAAAGCUCGUAGUUGGACCUUGGACCUGGACAGGCGGUCCGCCUCACGGCGUGUACUGUCUUGCUGGGUCUUUCCUCUUGGUGAUCUGUUGUUUCGGCAGCAGGGAACCAGGACGUUUACUUUGAAAAAAUUAGAGUGUUCAAAGCAGGCUCGACGCCGGAAUAUAUUAGCAUGGAAUAAUAAAAUAGGACGUGCGGUUCUAUUUUGUUGGUUUUUGGAAUCGCCGUAAUGAUUAAUAGGGACAGUCGGGGGCAUUAGUACUCACAUGCUAGAGGUGAAAUUCUUGGAUUUUGUGAAGACUAACUUCUGCGAAAGCAUUUGCCAAGGAUGUUUUCAUUAA
Molecule: ribosomal RNA, 370 nt
Filed under: uncultured eukaryote
Lineage: Eukaryota
Description: partial 18S ribosomal RNA
Rfam family: Eukaryotic small subunit ribosomal RNA
Source: RNAcentral